GACGAACGCUGGCGGCGUGCUUAACACAUGCAAGUCGAACGGAAAGGCCUGCUUUCCCUUGUGGAUUGCGGGUACUCGAGUGGCGAACGGGUGAGUAACACGUGAGUGAUCUGCCCCCAACUUGGGUAUAAGCCUGGGAAACUGGGUCUAAUUCCCGAUAGGACUGCAGGGUGGUGCCUGUGGUGGAAAACGAUUUUCUAGUGGUUGGGGAUGAGCUCGCGGCCUAUCAGCUUGUUGGUGGGGUAAUGGCCUACCAAGGCGGCGACGGGUAGCCGGCCUGAGAGGGUGGACGGCCACAUUGGGACUGAGAUACGGCCCAGACUCCUACGGGAGGCAGCAGUGGGGAAUAAUGCACGAUGGGCGGAAGCCUGAUGCAGCGACGCCGCGUGGGGGAUGACGGCCUUCGGGUUGUAAACUCCUUUCGACCGCGAGGAAGCCACCUGGUUGGAAGGGUGGUGACGGUAGUGGUAGAAGAAGCACCGGCUAACUACGUG
This 494-nucleotide ribosomal RNA is filed under the name uncultured bacterium. RNAcentral's name for it is "partial 16S ribosomal RNA". It matches the Rfam family "Bacterial small subunit ribosomal RNA", at positions 28 to 507 of the family's 1533-position model. The record is from RNAcentral.